This 31-nucleotide non-coding RNA is filed under the name Rattus norvegicus (Norway rat). Lineage: Eukaryota; Metazoa; Chordata; Mammalia; Rodentia; Muridae. The record is from RNAcentral.
UUCUCCUAUUCCACUAACAAGUGAACUCAGG